Molecule: transfer RNA, 53 nt
Filed under: Psoroptes ovis (sheep scab mite)
Lineage: Eukaryota; Metazoa; Arthropoda; Arachnida; Sarcoptiformes; Psoroptidae
Description: tRNA-Ile
Source: RNAcentral
UAGGUUCAACCUAAAAGGAUUUAUCUUGAUAGGGUAAAACGAAAGAACCUAUA